GACAGCGAUCGAUAGAAUCGAUAUCCAAAUCUCCUGAAAAUGGUGGUGUCACUGAAUGAUAUUCGUCUUUAUCUUUCCCAGGGGACUUAUGUCAAACACCAGCAUGCUUCGAAACAUUUCAAGCGGAGUGUUCGGGCCGCUGCUGGGAACUUCUGUCUUCGUGAAGAGGUCCUGUACCAUGGGAACAGAAGGGUCAUUUGGACAGAGGAGGAGAAAGUGGCUGUGUUAACCGAAGCCCAUGCAGGCCAUUUUGGACCACGGAGGAUGCAAGCGAAGAUUGCUCCCCGGUUUUAUUGGCGGUCCAUCACAAAGGACACAUUGGAUUGGGUGCGCACAUGUCCUGACUGCCAGCGCUUUGAAAAAUGAAAGACCGAGGCGCCUGAGCUGAAGCCCAUCAAGGUCGUAUCACCUUGGUACAUGGUUGGUGUGGACCUCUUUGGACCUGUGAAAAAGUCGUCUAAGGGGAACAGAUAUUGUCUCACUCUGACCGAUUAUUUAAGAAAGAGAGUUAUGGAGGUUCUUCCAAACAAUAUGGUUAGGCUGGAGACCCUGGAUGGAAAGCCCAAGCAUAUGAUGACCCCGUAUGCAUCACUGAAACCUCUGCGCCCGA
Long non-coding RNA from Entelurus aequoreus (snake pipefish), 610 nucleotides. RefSeq lists it as uncharacterized. Lineage: Eukaryota; Metazoa; Chordata; Actinopteri; Syngnathiformes; Syngnathidae. The record is from RefSeq and is a predicted model, not a curated record. The transcript is spliced from 5 exons.